RNAcentral lists this long non-coding RNA (1199 nucleotides) under Olea europaea (common olive). Its description in RNAcentral is "long non-coding RNA (OEUR_LNC005052)". Lineage: Eukaryota; Viridiplantae; Streptophyta; Magnoliopsida; Lamiales; Oleaceae. The record is from RNAcentral.
UCAAACUUACUCCAGUUAGAGAGCUUAGAUCUCUCCUAUAACAACUUAGGUGGAAGGAUCCCCACUGGUUUGAGCGAGUUAAAUGCUUUAGCAGUCUUCAGUGUGGCUCAUAACAAUCUAACAGGUAUGAUACCAGAGAAAGGUCAGUUUGGAACCUUUGAUGAAGGUAGCUAUCAGGGAAAUCCUUAUCUUUGUGGUCGUCCAUUACCUGUUGAUUGCACUAGCACUGGACCAAAACCAGUCCUGCCAUCUGCUGAUGAUGAAAGUGAGGAGCAUGGUUUCAUGGACAUGGAGUUCUUCUACAUAAGCUUCGUCAUAGUUCACUGGAAGCAUCCCUCAAUGGAUUGGCAAUCUAUCAAGCAUGAGCAUUAUUCUUCUCAGAGAUAACCAUUUUGAAGGUAGAAUCCCUCACCAAUUUUGUGAGAUGAAAAAACUAAGCAUGAUAGACCUUUCUUUUAAUAGUCUUUCGGGUCAAAUUCCGUUUUGCUUCAGUAACUUAACGCUAGAGGUAACCAAGAAGAAGUCUGUAUUGGUUGUGGAAUUUGACAGCUCUUCAAUUUCCUCAUUCAUUUCUUAUAUGGAUAAGGUUGAGUUAGAAAGGGACUAUCACGUGUCUUUCCAAAAAACUGAAGAUUUCAAAUUAACUGAUGUGCCAAUUACAGUGACAUUCGUGACAAAGGGAAAUUCUUAUUCGUACAAAGGUAGCAUCCUCAGUUAUAUGUCAGGAAUUGAUCUCUCUUCUAAUAAAUUACACGGUGAAAUUCCGGAUGGCCUUGGAAAGUUAAGUGAGAUCCAUGCACUCAACUUUUCCCACAACAAUCUUACUGGAACAAUUCCAGCAACUUUCUCAAACUUACUCCAGUUAGAGAGCUUAGAUCUCUCCUAUAACAACUUAGGUGGAAGGAUCCCCACUGGUUUGAGCGAGUUAAAUGCUUUAGCAGUCUUCAGUGUAGCUCAUAACAAUCUAACAGGUAUGAUACCAGAGAAAGGUCAGUUUGGAACCUUUGAUGAAGGUAGCUAUCAGGGAAAUCCUUAUCUUUGUGGUCGUCCAUUACAUGUUGAUUGCACUAGCACUGGACCAAAACCAGUCCUGCCAUCUGCUGAUGAUGAAAGUGAGGAGCAUGGUUUCAUGGACAUGGAGUUCUUCUACAUAAGCUUCGUCAUAUCUUAUAUAUCUGUAGUGCUUUGCAUUCCUACAG